UUUUUAAUUUUUAGGUUUUUUACUGUUUACUUAUUUUUGAGAGGGAGAGAGAGCACAAGCGGGGAGGGGCAGAGAGAGAGGGAGACACAGAAUCUGAAGCAGGCUCCAGGCUCCGAGCCAUCAGGACAGAGCCCGACGCGGGGCUUGAACCCACGAACCGCGAGCCGAAGUCAGGAGCUUAACCAGCUGAGCCACCCAGGUGCCCCCUGAGGCUUCUUAUCCACGGCCUCCAGCUUGCCUCCAGGUCACGGGCAGAACGCGUGUAGAGGCCGCUCGCCGCUGGACCAACUCAGUCGCAGAGAGCAAAGUUGUUGGAGACCUCAUACCUCCCUCCAGCCCCGGCUGCCUCUGAGGGGAUUGCUGACCACCCCACCCCCUACGAGACUUGUUGGGUUGCCUCGAAGGCUUGGGCCCACCCGCAUGACUUCUGCAGGCCUGCCUGGUGCUCAGCACACAUCCUCUUUACCGAUCCUGGAGGCUGCUGAAAGGGGCUCUUUUCCAUCCUCGACUCUGGUGAGUGCCACCGUGAGAAUCGGGAGACCCU
This 544-nucleotide long non-coding RNA is filed under the name Felis catus (domestic cat). RNAcentral describes it as "lncRNA (ENSFCAG00000049081.1)". Lineage: Eukaryota; Metazoa; Chordata; Mammalia; Carnivora; Felidae. The record is from RNAcentral.